RNAcentral lists this transfer RNA (71 nucleotides) under Loxodonta africana (African savanna elephant). It matches the Rfam family "tRNA". Rfam says of the family: Transfer RNA (tRNA) molecules are approximately 80 nucleotides in length. Their secondary structure includes four short double-helical elements and three loops (D, anti-codon, and T loops). The record is from Rfam by way of RNAcentral. Lineage: Eukaryota; Metazoa; Chordata; Mammalia; Proboscidea; Elephantidae.
ACAUUGGUGGUUUGGUGGUAGAAUUCUCACUUUCCAUGCUGGAGCACUGGGUUUGAUUCCCAGCCAGUGCA